AACAGAAAGCAGCUUGCUGCUUUGCUGACGAGUGGCGGACGGGUGAGUAAUGUCUGGGAAACUGCCUGAUGGAGGGGGAUAACUACUGGAAACGGUAGCUAAUACCGCAUAACGUCGCAAGACCAAAGAGGGGGACCUUCGGGCCUCUUGCCAUCGGAUGUGCCCAGAUGGGAUUAGCUAGUAGGUGGGGUAACGGCUCACCUAGGCGACGAUCCCUAGCUGGUCUGAGAGGAUGACCAGCCACACUGGAACUGAGACACGGUCCAGACUCCUACGGGAGGCAGCAGUGGGGAAUAUUGCACAAUGGGCGCAAGCCUGAUGCAGCCAUGCCGCGUGUAUGAAGAAGGCCUUCGGGUUGUAAAGUACUUUCAGCGGGGAGGAAGGGAGUAAAGUUAAUACCUUUGCUCAUUGACGUUACCCGCAGAAGAAGCACCGGCUAACUCCGUGCCAGCAGCCGCGGUAAUACGGAGGGUGCAAGCGUUAAUCGGAAUUACUGGGCGUAAAGCGCACGCAGGCGGUUUGUUAAGUCAGAUGUGAAAUCCCCGGGCUCAACCUGGGAACUGCAUCUGAUACUGGCAAGCUUGAGUCUCGUAGAGGGGGGUAGAAUUCCAGGUGUAGCGGUGAAAUGCGUAAGAUCUGGAGGAAUACCGGUGGCGAAAGCGGCCCCC
RNAcentral lists this ribosomal RNA (668 nucleotides) under Escherichia coli. RNAcentral describes it as "bacterial SSU rRNA". It matches the Rfam family "Bacterial small subunit ribosomal RNA", at positions 65 to 729 of the family's 1533-position model. The record is from RNAcentral. Lineage: Bacteria; Pseudomonadati; Pseudomonadota; Gammaproteobacteria; Enterobacterales; Enterobacteriaceae.